UACGUAGGGACCAAGCGUUGUUCGGAUUUACUGGGCGUAAAGGGCGCGUAGGCGGCCAGCACAAGUCAGUUGUGAAAUCUCCGAGCUUAACUCGGAAAGGUCAACUGAUACUGUGCGGCUAGAGUGCGGAAGGGGCAACUGGAAUUCUUGGUGUAGCGGUGAAAUGCGUAGAUAUCAAGAGGAACACCUGCGGCGAAGGCGGGUUGCUGGGCCGACACUGACGCUGAGGCGCGAAAGCCAGGGGAGCGAACGGG
Molecule: ribosomal RNA, 254 nt
Filed under: uncultured bacterium
Lineage: Bacteria
Description: partial 16S ribosomal RNA
Rfam family: Bacterial small subunit ribosomal RNA
Source: RNAcentral